This 374-nucleotide ribosomal RNA is filed under the name uncultured organism. Its description in RNAcentral is "partial 16S ribosomal RNA". It matches the Rfam family "Bacterial small subunit ribosomal RNA", at positions 527 to 896 of the family's 1533-position model. The record is from RNAcentral.
GUAGGUGGCAAGCGUUGUCCGGAAUUAUUGGGCGUAAAGCGCGCGCAGGCGGUUCUUUAAGUCUGAUGUGAGAGCCCACGGCUCAACCGUGGAGGGUCAUUGGAAACUGGAGAACUUGAGUACAGAAGAGGAAAGCGGAAUUCCACGUGUAGCGGUGAAAUGCGUAGAGAUGUGGAGGAACACCAGUGGCGAAGGCGGCUUUCUGGUCUGUAACUGACGCUGAGGCGCGAAAGCGUGGGGAGCAAACAGGAUUAGAUACCCUGGUAGUCCACGCCGUAAACGAUGAGUGCUAAGUGUUAGGGGGGUUUCCGCCCCCCUUAGUGCUGCAGCUAACGCAUUAAGCACUCCGCCCUGGGAGUACGGCCGCAAGGCUG